GGCGUCAUCAAAGGGCGUAGGAAAAGCCGAGUCUACCCAGCGGGCAGUUGCGUUAGUGUAGCCAGAGAUGGGGACAUCAAGAAGCAGAUGCCGCCAUGCUGGAUUAGGGCAGAUAGCGGCCGGAAUUGGAACGUUGUUGUGAAAUUCUGUUAUUUCUCCUUAAAUUCGCUGGAAUUUAUUCUGGUUUAGAGAGGGUGGGGGAGAGGAGAUGCAGUCGCAGAAUAAUAUUAAUAGUAUUAGAAGUAUAUUAUCUCUGUUAUUACCUGCCACCAAUAUUUUAUAAAGCAUUUUGACGGGCAUUGCCACGUUUAGUCAUCAUAGCAACUCAGGGAAACGGUUUUACUAUUUCUUUUUAACAAAUGAUGAAAUAGGGUUAAAGUAACUUGCCCAAAUCACUUAGGCUCAUUCGUGCCCAUGUGAAGAAAAAACAAAUUUGUUCUUGGUAUUUGUAUGUACAAAAUUUCAACCGGUUGUUAUAUGGUCUAAGAUAAAAUACAUGUAAUUAUGGAAGGGACUGGUUUGCUAGGCAGCUUUGAAUUGUGGUCAUGAAAUGUCAACUUUGGAACUGCAUGUAUCUAAUUGCUGCGGUUUGUUAAACUCCAUAAAGUUCAUCUUGUAAUCUCACCCUUACCCUCCAGGAUCUUGCAGUCUAGUGCUGAAGAAGGAAUAUAAGACAACGUUUAGAAUAUGAAGCCUAUAAAUGAUAGCAUUGAGGAAGGAAGUCCAGGCUGUCCUGCUGUAGGAAGGUCAUCGUGUGGAGAAGCACUGGAAGAUGAGACAUCACAUGUAGAGAGAGGCUAUAUGGGUGAGAACGAGCCAGCAAGCAGUCAGCAUGAGGCCACAGAUGUGUGAGGGAGCCAUUCUCGGCUCUUUUCAUCCCAGCCAUCAACCUUUUUGAACGCAAUCUCAUGAACUGCAGUGGAGCUAAUAACGCCACACAAGCCAGAAAACUGCCUACUCCUGAUAAGGGAAAUCUGUGUCCUAAGAUGGCCGACCGACCCAUCAAGGGAGUCCCAGCCCUUGCCCCGGGCCUCUUCUGGGUUCUUCUCCCUGCCCAGCUUCCCACACGUGCCAAGAGUGCCUAGUAUGCGGAAGUAGAAGUGUAUAAAUUACCCGCUUUGUGCUCACGGCUCAGACCUUUGGAGACCACUCUCCUCUGAGCCUGCUGGCGUUAAAUAAACCUCCUAUCCUCCAAGAUCUCUGAGUGCUGCUUGGUUCUUCCCUGGGGUGAUGCAAUCCAGGUUCCAUAACACUCCAACCACAGUAUUGUGAGAAAUAAUGAAUUUUGUGGGGGGAAAUAAUACAUGGUGAGAAAUAGUAAAUAAAUAAGUUCACUAAAUGGUGUG
Molecule: long non-coding RNA, 1346 nt
Organism: Mirounga angustirostris (Northern elephant seal)
Lineage: Eukaryota; Metazoa; Chordata; Mammalia; Carnivora; Phocidae
Exons: 3
Source: RefSeq, a predicted model, not a curated record